RNAcentral lists this transfer RNA (73 nucleotides) under Merluccius polli (Benguela hake). It matches the Rfam family "tRNA". Rfam says of the family: Transfer RNA (tRNA) molecules are approximately 80 nucleotides in length. Their secondary structure includes four short double-helical elements and three loops (D, anti-codon, and T loops). Lineage: Eukaryota; Metazoa; Chordata; Actinopteri; Gadiformes; Merlucciidae. The record is from Rfam by way of RNAcentral.
GCCUGGGUAGCUCAGACGGUAGAGCAUCAGACUUUUAAUCUGAGGGUCCACGGUUCAAGUCCCUGUUCAGGCG